GGGCGUUUAGCUCAGUGGUAGAGCGUCUCGUUUACACCGAGAAGGCCGUAGGUUCAAUCCCUACAACGCCCA
RNAcentral lists this transfer RNA (72 nucleotides) under bacterium. RNAcentral's name for it is "tRNA-Val". It matches the Rfam family "tRNA". From Rfam's summary of the family: Transfer RNA (tRNA) molecules are approximately 80 nucleotides in length. The record is from RNAcentral.